Trichonephila clavipes is the source of this 73-nucleotide non-coding RNA. The record is from the annotation of a GenBank genome assembly. NCBI's taxonomy places the organism in Eukaryota, Metazoa, Arthropoda, Arachnida, Araneae, Nephilidae.
GUCCCUGUAGAGAAAUGUAUAUCACGUUGGACUUCUAAUCGAAAGGUCGUGGAAUGGAAUCCCACCGGGGAUG